UCCGCCGCUCGCCGCCGCCGCCCCUCGGCCCGGUCUCCGCGCAGGAAAUGCUGCAACAAAAGGUCCUGCAGGCCAAAAAAGAAAGCUUACCCUCCAGAGAUAAGGGGAUCAAAGGGAACCUUCCCAGGCCUGUUGCCCCAAGGACCAGCUCCCCCGCCUUCUCCCUCCUUCUCUGCUGGACGCGCCCUCUCUGGUCCAUUGUGCACUUUUGUCUGCUUUUCCUGCCUGAAAAGGAGGAAGUGAGCCCGGACCCAGCCAGCACUCUGCCCUCCGCAGCUGCCUUUCAGCUCAGCUUUCCUAGAAGGGCUUUGACAGAUGGAAGAGGACUUGUGGAAACAGGCCCAAGCUGACUCAAAGAUGAGAUUGGAGAACGGCUCUCCCUUCCCCCACCAGAAGGGGGUUACUGAAGGUCAUCUCAUCCAUCCCCCUGCCUCCAUACACAGCUGGGUCAUCUGAGCAUAGGCUGUUCUGCAGACACUACCAAUGUCACCAAAGUGGGCUGGCAUCUUUCCCCCUUUCCACACCCUCUCACUACUGUUGCCUCCUCCACAUAGCCCCAGGGCAACCAUUUUAAAAGCCCAAUUAGAUCCUACCUAAAAUCUUUCAAUGGCUCCUAAUCAAGUAAUAAUUAAUACAGUCCAGAAUCUUUAGUAUGUCCCUGAAGAUCUCUUAUAAUCCCAUCAAUUCUUACCUCUUCAGCCACCUGUCCCAGCUCUCCCGUCCUCUGGCUUCACAGAAGCUGUUAGUUUCAGCUGGAAAUGCUUCCCCACCUACUGCUGUCUCUGCUUGGUGAACACAUCAAGAAGGCCAGUUGAUGGUGUGGGGAAGGAUCAUGUGCAGAAAUCACAAAAAUUAAGAUCAGGAUAGCUCUGUUGGAGGGGGGCUUUAGUGUUGGAACUGUAAACUGAUAACAAUAGGGAGCUAUUGAAAGUUCUUGAGCAAAGUAGUUGUCUUAGUCUACUAGGACUGCUGUAACAAAAUGCCAUAAACUGGGUGCUUAUAAACAAUAGAAAUUUAUUUUUCACAGUUCUGGAGGCUGGGAAGCUGAAGAUCAUGGCACCCACGAUUUGGUGUGUGGUGAGGGCCCAUUUUCUGGUUCCCAGACAACGGCCUUCUUCCUGUGUCCUCAAAUGGUAGGAGGGACAAGCUAGCUCCUGUGGGCCUCAUUUGUAACAGCACUAAUCCCAUUCCUGAGGGCUCCACGCCAAUGAUCUAAUCACCCCCCACAAGGCUCCACCUAAGACCUUGGAGGUUAUGAUUUCAACAUAUGAAUUUGGGAGGGACACAAAUGUUCAGACCGUAGCAGAAGUAAUUUCCUGAAUGUUGUUGGGGGAGGACACCAGCAGAAACAAACUGGAUUCACCUGUCCUUACUCCUCAGCUUUUGGAGUUAGUCUUCAGAAUAGAAGAACAAGGAGAAGGAGGAGGGGAAAGGAGAAUAGAAGGAACAGAAGGAGGAAGGGGGGAAGGGAGAAAGGUAAAAGGAAAAGAAAAAGAAUCUGUGUCCCUGGACCAAGGAAGAUUGGAAGCCGGGAGGGGGAACAUCCUUCUACCUCCUUAUCACUGUUGCCAACAAAAAGGAAGAUUAAACAGAAAUAGUAAAGUUCCUCCAUAAUGUAGCCCUCCCUCGGGGAGGGGAGAGAGCAAAAAACAAAACAAAACAAAAAAAACACUGAGAUAAGACUGACCUAGGAGUUAGACAAAUAAUUCCUCCGGAAUACAAAGACUUUACAAGGGUGAACAUAGCAGACGAGUCCUGUAGGGGCUUCGUCCUGAACACAGCUCUUUCUGCCCCAGCCCCAGGAGCACUGAGGUAAAAUAUGGGCUCAUGCAGUCACGGUCCUCUCACCCCACUCCAUGACUCAUUGAAAGUGAGCUGCUAGCUUCCUAUCCUGCCCAUCUUACUUCACAGCCGCUGUGCCCCAGCUUCUGGCCUUGUGCUAGGCACUAGGGACAUCCCUGACUAAUACUGUUCAGGAGAGACGCUCAGACUUGUGCACAGACAUUCACAGCACUGUGUCAGCAAGAAGUGCUGUCAUUGUGAUCCUGUUUUCUGAACCCCAAAUUGAAGCACGUAGCCCAGCUUGUACAAGUGCACUCAGGAGGACCACAAAACAGAAAGUUCAAAUCCAACCUAUGCUGACCACCCUGAGCCUGUGAAUUCUGGAGCUCUGACGGGCACAUAGAGAGCAACAAGGUUCAACUCAUACAACUGGACAUUCUCUUAUCGCCCUUGAUGAAGAGGGCAAUAUUUUAUUCCUAUUGUCAUCAUUGUUAUUAUUAUUCUGCUUUGGCAGAAGAGGCCCUUUGCCUUAGAGUCCUUCCUCCAUCACAUUCCUGGGGACAAAAAGGAAGAUCCUGUUUAUUUCCAAUCAAGGGAGUUGAUUCUGGGGUCGGCCAGAACCAGUGAAACAGGAACUGAUUCCUUAAAUCUUCCAACUGUGCAUUAGCAGCUGAGAGAAGAACAGGGCCAGUUAACCAAGUUUUGUUAGCAUUCCUAACUAUCCUUAGCUGUAUUUCUCUUCAGCCUGGCCUCAUUUCUUUCAGGCCCAGCCCCCGGGCAGGUUAAGAUGGUUGCUGUAAUUAAUCAUGCCGUGGGCCCUAAUUCAGACUCACCACAUUCAAAUUUCAAUUUAAAAAAAAAAAGGCGGGGUGUCUACUUAAGAAAUGCUCCGCUUAUGAAAUGCUCUUUGUUGCCGAAGCAGCCCCCUUUCAGCCUAAAGGAGAAAGUCUAGGAAGUGCAGGAAAGAAGAAAGGUUUCCAGGGCCCUCUUCAAAGUACUUGCACAUAUGUGAGGGGACUGAGGAUGAUCUGUGCUCCAAAGCCCCUCCAGUAUUUCCCAAUCAGAACAAACUGAAUUUUUAAAAAUAUAUAUUAAAUACCAUCAUAAUAUCUAGGAUGAGUGUUCAUUCCACAAAUGUUAAUUUAUUAUUCUCAGUGCCUCUAGUUUUCCUUCUCUUUUUUUUUAUUUUUAUUUUUUUGAGACAGGGUCCCAGGCUGGAGGGUAGUGGCGCAAUCAUAGCUCACCACAGCCUCGACCCCAGGGCUCAGGUGAUCCUCCUGCCUCACCCUCCCAAGUAGCUGGGACUACAGGCACUCACCACCACACCUGGCUAAUUUUUUUGUAUUUUUUGUAGAGAUGGGAUUUUGUCAUGUUGGCCAGGCUGGUCUUGAAUUCCUGGGGUCAAGCGACCUACCCACCUCAGCCUCCCAAAGUACUGGGGUUAUGGGCAUGAGUCACCGCACAUGGCUGUUUUCCUUCUCUUUAGGUCUUAAAAGGUUUUGUCAUUAUUUCUCUGUGAAAAUGCAAACAAUAGGACUGAGCAUGGUGGCUCAUACCUGUAAUCUAGCACUGAGACCAGCCUGGGCAACAUAGUAAGAUUCUCUUGCUAGAAAAAUAAAAAUAAAGUAAAAUGCAAACAUUAGUUGGCUGUGGAGAAUGGAGUGGGUUUGAGGAAGGUGGGAGUGGGAAAGGAGCUUCUGCUUUUCACUCCAUUUCUUCUGUGGUUUUGGUAACAUGCGUAUACUACUUUUAUAAUUAAAAACAAAAAAGGAGGAGAUUGGCACAGAAUAGAGAAUUUACCAUGAAAACUACUAUCUGCUAAUCUCUUAGUACUAUUUUAACAAAUCCUGAAAACAGCAAUGAGAAACAAAUCUUAUUUCCCAUUUUACCUGGAACUCGCCGCAACUCCAAGUCCUUGGCUGGGCAUGGGAGGCAAGUCAUCGCUGACUUGGAGGAGGGGGGCUCACGUUGGACCUUCAAGAGGGAAAGAGAACCCACCCAACUGUCUAUUUCCAGUGGGAGCACCUUUCCAGAAUCCCAGCUUGACUUGGAGAGGUUCUGCCACUUGGAAGUUGGGGAAGGGUUCCUCCCACCCUCAAUUAAAAUACAUAGAACUUGGUAGUCAGUUCAUUAAGGUGGUCCCCUAGUAUCUGUAUUUUUCUCAAGUACUCCCAAAAUAAUUUGGAUUUAUGAUCAUCCAAAACUCACUGCUUUAGAAAUCAUCUACUCCAAUUACUGAUGAGGGAAACUGAGGCUUAAAGGGCAGAAGGGACUUGCCCAAGGUCACCCAGCAAAUAAGCAGGUGACCCCAGGCCAGAAAAGAAAACAGGACUCCUCCUAUGUCCCACUAAAAACAGGAUAAGGAGGCUGAGAGGAGCACCUGAAAGAUGCCAUUUCACAUCUAAUCACUUCUUGUCACGUUGCAACCAUUUUCCUCAUAUGGAGCCUCACGCUGAUAGAUCAGAAAUAACAUUUUGAAAGUUAUGUCUGCAAGGAAAUGGCUAUUAAUGUUCUUCCUCUCCUUUUAGAGCAUCAAGGAAUACAUAUUAAUUUUCUCUCUACUUACAUUGCCUAUUUGCAAAUUGUAUUCACUACUCAGUGCUCCAAUUUGUCCCACCCCUGAAGAGAUUAUGAUGAAUAAAUGUGUUCCUGGAAAUAAAAA
This 4444-nucleotide long non-coding RNA is filed under the name Homo sapiens (human). Its description in RNAcentral is "HSALNT0358558". Lineage: Eukaryota; Metazoa; Chordata; Mammalia; Primates; Hominidae. The record is from RNAcentral.